UGUUGACAUUAUAGUUGUGCAGGCACUUUGUUCACUCUAGAGAACCUCGGGCCAAUCGCACAUCCCAGUGAUGACGACUUUGCAUUCGGAUGUCAUCCAUAUCAACUUUCGAUGCCAGUUUCUGCGCCUACCAUGGUGACCAUGGGUAACAGUGAAUCAGGGUUCCAUUCCGUACAGGGACCCUGAGAAACGGCUACCACAUGCAAGGAAGGCAGCAGGCACGCAAAUGACCUACUCCCGACGCGGGAAGGUAGUGACGACA
This is a non-coding RNA of Pelobates cultripes (western spadefoot toad), 262 nucleotides long. NCBI's taxonomy places the organism in Eukaryota, Metazoa, Chordata, Amphibia, Anura, Pelobatidae. The record is from the annotation of a GenBank genome assembly.